AUCAACUUUCGAUGGUAGGAUAGAGGCCUACCAUGGUGGUAACGGGUAACGGGGUGUUAGGGCACGACACCGGAGAGGGAGCNUGAGAAACGGCUACCACAUCCAAGGAUGGCAGCAGGCGCGCAAAUUACCCAAUCCCGACACGGGGAGGUAGUGACAAUAAAUAACAAUACGGGGUUCUUUCGGAUUUCGUAAUUGGAAUGAGUACAAUUUAAAUCUCUUAACGAGGAACAAUUGGAGGGCAAGUCUGGUGCCAGCAGCCGCGGUAAUUCCAGCUCCAAUAGCGUAUAUUAAAGUUGUUGCAGUUAAAAAGCUCGUAGUUGAAUUUCGGGGUUAGUAGAUUGGUCAUGCCUCUGGUAUGCACUGGUCUCACUGAUUCCUCCUUCCUGAUGAGCCGUAAUGCCAUUAAUUUGGUGUUGCGGGGAAUUUGGACUGUUACUUUGAAAAAAUUAGAGUGUUUAAAGCAAGCUAACGCUUGAAUACAUUAGCAUGGAAUAAUGAAAUAGGACGUUCGAUCCUAUUUUGUUGGUUUCUAGGAUUGACGUAAUGAUUAAUAGGGAUAGUUGGGGGCAUUAGUAUUCAAUUGUCAGAGGUGAAAUUCUUGGAUUUAUUGAAGACUAACUACUGCGAAAGCAUUUGCCAAGGAUGUUUUCAUUAAUCAAGAACGAAAGUUAGGGGAUCGAAGACGAUCAGAUACCGUCGUAGUCUUAACCAUAAACUAUGCCGACUAGGGAUCGGAUGAUGUCAAUUUUUUAAUGACUCAUUCGGCGCCUUACGGGAAACCAAAGUGUUUGGGUUC
This 799-nucleotide ribosomal RNA is filed under the name uncultured Glomeromycotina. Its description in RNAcentral is "SSU rRNA". It matches the Rfam family "Eukaryotic small subunit ribosomal RNA", at positions 314 to 1114 of the family's 1831-position model. Lineage: Eukaryota; Fungi; Glomeromycota. The record is from RNAcentral.